GCUUGAGAGGCAUAUGGUUAGAUUUUAGGAGAAGGAAGAAAAGGUCAUUGCGAUGAGGGGCAUAAAACUUGUGGCCUCUCUAUGAACAAAUUCCCUACAUUU
Molecule: small nucleolar RNA, 102 nt
Organism: Otolemur garnettii (small-eared galago)
Lineage: Eukaryota; Metazoa; Chordata; Mammalia; Primates; Galagidae
Source: Ensembl